RNAcentral lists this ribosomal RNA (441 nucleotides) under uncultured bacterium. RNAcentral describes it as "partial 16S ribosomal RNA". It matches the Rfam family "Bacterial small subunit ribosomal RNA", at positions 338 to 795 of the family's 1533-position model. The record is from RNAcentral.
CCUACGGGAGGCAGCAGUGGGGAAUAUUGCACAAUGGGGGAAACCCUGAUGCAGCAACGCCGCGUGAAGGAAGACGGUUUUCGGAUUGUAAACUUCUGUUCUUAGUGAAGAAUAAUGAUGGUAGCUAAGGAGCAAGCCACGGCCAACUACGUGCCAGCAGCCGCGGUAAUACGUAGGUGGCAAGCGUUGUCCGGAAUGACUGGGUGGAAAGGGAGCGCAGGUGGGAAGCCAAGUCAGUUGUGAAGACUACGGGCUAAACUUGUGGACUGCAGUUGAUACUGGUUUUCUUGAGUGAAGUAGGGGUUGGCGGAAUUCCGGGUGUAGCGGUGGAAUGCGUAGAUAUUAGGAGGAACACCGGUGGCGAAGGCGGCCAACUGGGCUUUAACUGACGCUGAGGCUCGAAAGUGUGGGGAGCAAACAGGAUUAGAUACCCGAGUAGUC